AGAGUUUGAUCCUGGCUCAGAACGAACGCUGGCGGCAUGCCUAAUACAUGCAAGUCGAACGAGAUCUUCGGAUCUAGUGGCGCACGGGUGCGUAACGCGUGGGAAUCUACCCUUGGGUUCGGAAUAACAUCGGGAAACUGAUGCUAAUACCGGAUGAUGACGUAAGUCCAAAGAUUUAUCGCCCAGGGAUGAGCCCGCGUAGGAUUAGCUUGUUGGUGAGGUAAAGGCUCACCAAGGCGACGAUCCUUAGCUGGUCUGAGAGGAUGAUCAGCCACACUGGGACUGAGACACGGCCCAGACUCCUACGGGAGGCAGCAGUAGGGAAUAUUGGACAAUGGGGGCAACCCUGAUCCAGCAAUGCCGCGUGAGUGAUGAAGGCCUUAGGGUUGUAAAG
RNAcentral lists this ribosomal RNA (394 nucleotides) under uncultured Sphingomonas sp. Its description in RNAcentral is "bacterial SSU rRNA". It matches the Rfam family "Bacterial small subunit ribosomal RNA", at positions 8 to 430 of the family's 1533-position model. Lineage: Bacteria; Pseudomonadati; Pseudomonadota; Alphaproteobacteria; Sphingomonadales; Sphingomonadaceae. The record is from RNAcentral.